UACGUAGGUGGCAAGCGGUGUCCAGAAUUAUUGGGCGUAAAGCGCGCGCAGGCGGUCCUUUAAGUCUGAUGUGAAAGCCCACGGCUCAACCGUGGAGGGUCAUUGGAAACUGGGGGACUUGAGUGCAGAAGAGGAAAGCGGAAUUCCACGUGUAGCGGUGAAAUGCGUAGAGAUGUGGAGGAACACCAGUGGCGAAGGCGGCUUUCUGGUCUGUAACUGACGCUGAGGCGCGAAAGCGUGGGGAGCAAACAGG
Molecule: ribosomal RNA, 253 nt
Filed under: uncultured bacterium
Lineage: Bacteria
Description: partial 16S ribosomal RNA
Rfam family: Bacterial small subunit ribosomal RNA
Source: RNAcentral